AGGCACGCUGACACGUAGGUGAAGUGAUUUACUCAUGGAGCUGAAGUCAGUCGAAGAUACCAGCUGGCUGCAACUGUUUAUUAAAAACACAGCACUGUGCAAACACGAAAGUGGACGUAUACGGUGUGACGCCUGCCCGGUGCCGGAAGGUUAAUUGAUGGGGUCAGCGCAAGCGAAGCUCCUGAUCGAAGCCCCGGUAAACGGCGGCCGUAACUAUAACGGUCCUAAGGUAGCGAAAUUCCUUGUCGGGUAAGUUCCGACCUGCACGAAUGGCGUAAUGAUGGCCAGGCUGUCUCCACCCGAGACUCAGUGAAAUUGAACUCGCUGUGAAGAUGCAGUGUACCCGCGGCAAGACGGAAAGACCCCGUGAACCUUUACUAUAGCUUGACACUGAACAUUGAGCCUUGAUGUGUAGGAUAGGUGGGAGGCUUUGAAGUGUGGACGCCAGUCUGCAUGGAGCCGGCCUUGAAAUACCACCCUUUAAUGUUUGAUGUUCUAACGUGGACCCGUGAUCCGGGUUGCGGACAGUGUCUGGUGGGUAGUUUGACUGGGGCGGUCUCCUCCUAAAGAGUAACGGAGGAGCACGAAGGUUGGCUAAUCCUGGUCGGACAUCAGGAGGUUAGUGCAAUGGCAUAAGCCAGCUUGACUGCGAGCGUGACGGCGCGAGCAGGUGCGAAAGCAGGUCAUAGUGAUCCGGUGGUUCUGAAUGGAAGGGCCAUCGCUCAACGGAUAAAAGGUACUCCGGGGAUAACAGGCUGAUACCGCCCAAGAGUUCAUAUCGACGGCGGUGUUUGGCACCUCGAUGUCGGCUCAUCACAUCCUGGGGCUGAAGUAGGUCCCAAGGGUAUGGCUGUUCGCCAUUUAAAGUGGUACGCGAGCUGGGUUUAGAACGUCGUGAGACAGUUCGGUCCCUAUCUGCCGUGGGCGCUGGAGAACUGAGGGGGGCUGCUCCUAGUACGAGAGGACCGGAGUGGACGCAUCACUGGUGUUCGGGUUGUCAUGCCAAUGGCACUGCCCGGUAGCUAAAUGCGGAAGAGAUAAGUGCUGAAAGCAUCUAAGCACGAAACUUGCCCCGAGAUGAGUUCUCCCUGAGACUUUAGGUCUCCUGAAGGAACGUUGAAGACGACGACGUUGAUAGGCCGGGUGUGUAAGCGCAGCGAUGCGUUGAGCUAACCGGUACUAAUGAACCGUGAGGCUUAACCUU
RNAcentral lists this ribosomal RNA (1204 nucleotides) under Salmonella enterica. RNAcentral's name for it is "partial 23S ribosomal RNA". It matches the Rfam family "Bacterial large subunit ribosomal RNA", at positions 1744 to 2925 of the family's 2925-position model. The record is from RNAcentral. Lineage: Bacteria; Pseudomonadati; Pseudomonadota; Gammaproteobacteria; Enterobacterales; Enterobacteriaceae.